CCGGGAGCGUGAGGUCUAGGGGUGUUUUCCCAGCAGAGUUGCUGUUGGCAGGACGGCCGGCCACAGCCACGCUGCCAUGCUGGGCGUGGGGUGCUGACCCGCAGGACGGGCUAGGAGCCCCCCAGUGCAGGAGCCCGGCAAGAUGGGGCGGGCCACUGGCGGGCGCAGGAGUGCGGGAGGCUGGGGGCCGAGGCCAGAGGCUCCCUGGGUUAUGUCACCAUCGCUGACGACACUGAAAGGAGGCCACACGGCUGGCGGGCGGGCCGGCGACGUGCCCACGUCAGGGACGAGGAGCCCCCGGGGUGGGCCACCGAGCGUCCGGGAAGUGGGCGGCGAUGAGGCCGAGCAUAGGACGCAGGAAGGCAGCUCGGGCCGGGUCUGCACCAAACGAGCACGGGGCCAGCCUUCCCCGGUCUGCCGGUGGGGUUGUGCCAGGACACACUCGACGGAGCCCUCCACAUGGCCGGCCCCCGGGGUCGGUGCCGCCGGGUGCAGGCCGGGCUCGCUGGCACGGGGCCCCAGCCCAGGAAGGAGGGCUAAAACCCCGCCAAGGCUGGAGGCUGGAGCAGCCAGAGCUUCCGGAGAAACACCAGCCGAGGCUGGAGGCUGGGGAUGAUCUCAGAGCGUGGGUGGCCCUGCCUGCAGCACAGCGGAGGCCGUCAUCUGACAGACGAGGACGGAGGGAAGUGGUAAGACCGCUCAGGGGCCAGAACAAGGGCUGCGUGGCCGACACGGGGAAGAGGGACACAGCAGGAGCUCCGGGGGAGGCGUGCGACCCCGCCGAGCCCAGGGAGAGAAGGCCACCGCGUGGGCCUCCGGGACAGAGUGGAACUCUUCGACAGCUCGCCGUGGCACUGUUGGUCCACUCUGCCUCCAGCUAGGCUGUUGCCCGGCCUGUGAGCUCACGGAGCUUCACCCACACGGACGCCGCUCUCCCCUCGAGGGGCGAUGGUCUCGCAGCCGGGCCGAGUUCUAGAAAGCACAGUCGGCCCAACAGACAGCGCUUCAGCCUUCUCUCACUCACUGCCCACGCCACCGGCAUUGUCCUCCCCAAACAAAGACGGCAUCGGCCACGCUGAAGACGGUUUGAUGAAGGCUCCGUCACUCUGUCUUCUUUACAGCCCGAGGGAUACGGUUCUCCGGCUUGGGGAGGGCAGUCCAUCGGGAGUCUUCGACUCUUGCUCGAGAGGCUGCCUGUGUACUUCCCGCUGGGAAGGCGCGACAGCAGCACGGUGCACGCGCGGUAUGGUGCACGCGCAGGGAAGUUGCUGGUGUUCAAUUUUGAAUAAACGGCCUUGAUACGUGCGAACUGUGACUCUGUGCGCGCCCUGCUCUCGAGCCGGAGACGGCCGGAGACAUCACUCGGGCUACACGUUACCUCACACACUGCCUGACUCCGCUUUAUUUAUUCCCGCAGCGUGUCAGAUCUUGGCACUCUCUGGCACGAACGAGCCCCGGCACGUACACUGUUCGUGCCGACGCAGGAGUCGGGAGGGAAUAUUUAACAUUGUUCUCCAGAAGCGGAGUGGCUGCGUCUCUUGAAGCUCUUCAUUCCAGAAGAGGAUGCUCGGGGAGAGCUUGCUCUAAACCCGCCCGCGUGCGAGCGGUGGGGGGAUUCCAAGAUGAACCUACUGACUAGUGGCAUCAGCACAAUUUAAGCAUCUCUGCUGAAUGUUGUACCCAAGGUCAACCCCUGAAUCAAGGUCACUUGGGACUCAAGCCAAGACCUCCUAUUCUCUUUCCGUUGCUAUGAGACUAAGAUAAAAAGUCAUGAAUUCUGUCUGAGCCUUAAGGCUUGUCAUUCCCCCAAAGUAUCAAAAGUGUGCUUAUCAGAUUACAAACAACGAACAUGCUGAGAUUGUAAACACCGAAAAGAGUGGACUUCCUCAAAUACUUUCAGUGAUGUCAUCUGGCCCUUCUUCCAUAUCCGCUUUCAUUAUGCUCCUGUCCUUUCAAAACAGAGUUCGUGCCACGGGCCAACAAAGGCCAGGAAGUGUCAGGACUAUGGCAGGGGUUCGGACCUGGAAACCAGGACAGACUGAUAACGGACAAGCACCUCCGGAGAAGGAAGGGGUCCGCUCCGACACGGCGGUCCGGCGGGCGAGGUCACCGUCGAACACUCUGGCCCACUGCUUGGAGGGUGAGCUGCCCAGUGGCUUUCAUCAGCGGACAGGCACACCCCCUGGCACGUCUGCCAGAGCCAGCCACCGUCACACGCGCAGGCACCGGGGCCCAGAGGUGAGCAGGAUGGCCCCCAGCUCACCGGGCUCCACGGUGAACAUUUAACAACACGACACAAGCUAUGAUGUGAUACACACCAAGGAGCCUGAACAAGUGGGAAUUGAUUCUUAUCCAAAUUAUCGUGUUUUUCGCUUGAAUUUCGAUUGCUUAUCUGCAUUGUUUGAAUGAACUUGCCUCACUGAUUUCAAGCACAUUUCCAGGCCCUUACCGGUGCCAGUGUGGGCUGCCCAUGUGGGCUGAUGCUCUCUGGAGUCUGUCCCGUGCCCACCUUCACAAGGACCGGACCCUCGACAGACCCCCCCCCCCCCGCCCCCGGGGGCUGGAGUCAGGGACACGGAGCCUCGGGUGGGGGUGGGGGUGGAGGGCGGAGGGAGGCAGGCAUCAUGGCGUCUGGGUCCGAGCCGGAGGCCCAGCGUGCCAGGGUUUCCCUCCCGGCAAACACACGUGAAGCAGAGAGCUGUGCUUCCUCCCCGUGUCGUCAGGUUUCAGAGCUUCCUUCCGCCAACACGCCGCCCUCGGGAGCUCGGGCUCCCGCACUGACCGUCAACAGUCAGGCCCCAUGCAGAGGGCAGCCAUUCCCCCCACCGGCUCCCCAAGUCUUUGCCCUUAGUAGACCACGCUGCUCUCCCCGAUAGCCGCCCAUAAACGUCUCCCAGGUUCAGGAAGGGAUACGGCCCUUUGAAGUCCCAUCCAGGGGUGCCCCUAAGGUCACUGAGCAGAGCACAGCAAGAGGCAGGCCUGGAGAUGAUGGCGGGAGGCGCGGCGCUGCGUGCACCCCCGCCGGCCUGGAAGCGGAGGCUGGAGUUCGCCUCGACACGCUUCACAGUCAAGGGCAGCGUGACCCUGACACUCUUUUAAAUAUUCUCUGCUCAUUGACAAUUCUUGGACUUCAAAACAGACUCAUGAUUACAGGCGUGCUCCGCGUUCUCCCAGAAUGUGCUCACGGGACCGGACUUGUAGGCCCCUGGACCGUCCCUCAGAAGAUGCCGCUCACGGAACUCAGACAGUGACGCCACGAUGAGGGCUGGGGGGAGGUGCGCAGACCUGGACGUCCAGCGGCAGACUCAUGGCGCUGACCGCGACCCCAUGUCUCAUUCCUCUUUAUCUCUGCUCUUUCUUUCACGUCUUUGGACAGGGUUGAUUUGCUGGAUUCGGAAGGCGGCAUAUAGGAGGGCCGUGGGGGGAUCUGGGGUUGGGCAGAGUCAUGUCUUCAGGCUGGACGGCUGCGGCACUGGCCUCGGAAUAGAGGUUCUCCGACAUUAAACCACGGUGGCCGUUUAUGCCCCGUGUUCCCUUUUCAGCCACCCCCGAGGACUCGAGCUGUGCUUACGGCACAACGACCACCAGACAGACGCAUCAAGAGCGCCAGUGCUCCGGACCGAGUCAGUCGAGUUCCCACCAAAGCAAAGAGAUCCGACGUGUCACCAACCCGCACGGCCUCACCGUACGUCGGUGCUCCGUUUCUGGAAUGUUUUCAAACACUGCAGACCACCUGACUUCAGGUAACCUGGAGUAGCACACCCCGAGGGCCCCCACGAUGUCCUUCUACCUGGUCUAUUGAGCACCUGUUACGGCGCCAAGUCCAAGACUCAAACUCCCAGAACUGGAAACGGCUGACGGGCACGUAUUCACUCCAUGUGCCCCAGCCUUGUUUGACUGAAGACCCACUCAGGACUGCAUUUUUUGUUUCCGAGUCUUCAGCGUACGGUGUGAUGCUGCAGGACGCUGAGGGCCGGCGGCUUCCCUCCUGCACGGUCUGGAGUAGCUGCGCGAGCCUCCAGGCGCAGGGGGCCCGGUCCUGCCUGUGUGUCUCAUGAGGACCCUGGACGCUCCCCAGACCUCAGGAAAUUCCCCACAAUUAAGCACUACCGUGCUACCCCCUGGAGUGCCUGACUACAUUUAGACGCCCUCCUCCUCCGGGAAGCCUCGCCAGGCCCGUCAGCGUGGUAACAGGCUGCCUCUCCUGCGUCCCCCUCGGGUGACUGAAUAUGGUCCUCUUUUUUGUAAACAAUGAUUCUCUGCAGAAGAGUAGAAGAAAAAAUCCCCAAUCUCUGACCCACUUGAACGCAGUCUCUGAGCUGUCUUUGUGCCCCCUGGAUGCUCCUGCAAAGAAAAGGCGGGUGAGAAGCGGCCGCGUGGUCUCCACCAGCAGCGUCAGGGAAGGAGGGUGGCAGGCCUCGGCUAUGGUCUGUGCAAGACUCAUCCGGCCAGGCCCGUGUCGCUGCCUAGAGGCCGACCCCAUUUUCUUCCUUUGAUGGGGGCAUGCACUCUUCCAAAAAUUGUCUUGCAGAUAUUUAAAAUAACAAAACAAAGCCCUAAACAAGAAAACCCAACUUCUCCCUCAAAGCACAGCGUGAUGUCCCAGCUAGCACACAGCAGCCUGGGGCUCCUUGCUGGCUGGGCCAGCCCUGGGGAAGGACGGGGAGGCCACCAGAUGUCUCCUUGGAUCUUGACUUCAGGGGACAGCAAACACAAGGCUGUCUUCGUCUCGUGGCCAUCAGGCUAGCGGGCAGGAAGGCAAAUCACUCCUCUCUGCACCGGCAAGCACGUGGGUGUCCUUGGCUACUCGGCACCUGCCCCUCACCAUCCAGACGGGCCCCCCCCUGGUCUCAGCUUUGGCUUCUGAGCAGAGGCCUGUCCUUGCCAUCCACGGGUGCAGGCAGCCCCUCCAGGGGAAACCUCUGACCAACCCAGGCCAGCCCUUCACGCCUCCUCGCUGGUCUUCGUGUACGAGCGCCUCGUCUCAGCAGCUGUGUUCUCAGGCCCUCCCUGGCCGGCCUCUCUCACGUACGCACACACACCACCGCCCUCCAGCCCCCGCCUCCACCAGCUCACGCUAACAGGUGCCCGCUGGUGCCUUCCCGAGGCUCUCAGCUGGAGUCCCUCCUGGGGACUAUGUGUCCCGCCUUCACUGCCUGAAUAGUCUUUCCUCCCUUAAAUUCUGAAACAUUCUUUUUUCUCUAAUUAUUAGAAUCAACGAGCGAAGUGUUUAUAAACUUAAAAAUGUGUACAGAGUUGAUUCAAUAAGGGUUCAUGAAAAGAUCUAACUUAAAAAUUAGCUCCGGAUAUACAUGAGCCACAGACAGCCCUUAGACUACAUCUGAAACUAAUGACGUACUAUAUGUUGGCUAAUUAAUUAAAAGAACAAAACCCAGCCCUUACAGUGCUAGAUGGCCCAUCUGGACGUCUUUUUGCCUGUGGUUCUGAAGUAAAACCAUGCGGUCGGCUUCCCUACACAGCAAAGCAGCAAGAACGGUCACUUCUAAGGUGCUGGUAUCGUGCUGCUGACUUUCCAAGUGCUUUCGUUUGAAUCGGCCACGUUGAGUCACAUGUGUGAGUACCAAAGCUUUAUUUUUAACAGUUGAAGUGUUUGCUUUAUCCUGAACUGUCCUGAAAAAUGUCUUGGGGACACGGAAGCCCAUGGCAAAGCGCAGGAACGUUCUGGAACACAAGCAUUUCAAAUUCUCUCAAACACACAGCAACGCUUGUGUUAGAGGCCCACGGUGGUCAGUCACAUGGGGGCGGGAGGGGUCUAGGACCUGGAGGGUGUGGCUCGGUGCAGAAUGUCAAUGGCCUUGGCUGCCCAAGCACCAGGGCUUGCCUCUCAUGCCUGGAGAAUUCCGAGGUGAACCACUCUGACUGCCGUAAACGGGUUUGCCUCCCGACCGCAAUCCACUUCCCUUUCAGCUGCCUGCCCUGGUGCUCCCGCCUGCUGUCCUCCUGGCAUGGGGCCGGUGGCCGGCUCCCGGCCAGGACCGAUGUAGCUGGACCACUGUCCAGGCCUGUCUGGCAUGCUUGGCUCCACUGCCCAACAGCUGGGGGCCCCCACCAGCUCUUUUUGGUUGGGACACCCUCUUUUAAAUGUUAUUUUUAUGAUUCCAAAUCACAGAGCAGCGUCUUCUGCCCCAGACCUGGGAUCUGCAAUGGUCAGCUCACAGUGCCCAUGUCACAUCCAGGUCUACGAAAUCAGAAGCUCCCGGGCUGCGUUAUCACCCAGUGAAAAAGUGCACAUGCAUGCGCCUCGAGCGGACGGUACAGUCCUGGAUGGACAGCAUACGGAAGCGCCCGAUGUACGUCACCAAGAGACACAGGUCAGGUCUGGGUCCCCUCGGUUGCCCUUGGCCCCUAGAAAAGUCACUGCUGACCCCUGCCAGGAUCCAGCACCUCUGGGAGCGUGUGACAGAACCCGUGCAGGAGCCCAGGCGAACGUCCAGGGCAGGCACAUGCCGCCACCUGGGAAGUGACCUUCUGAGAAGCCAGUCGGCGGCAGGACGCGGAUACCUUCCCGACCACUGCUCAGGGAGAAGACAACGGGCCCUCACGUGAGGUGUCCGGAGCUCUGCCUGCCGAGACUCAGAGUUGUAGGCAGGCGGUGCUCAGGGUCAAGGUUCUGUGUAUAAAAUGUUCACCCGCCCCCCCCCCUCCCCUGGAAGGAAGCUCGUGGGUCAGCUGUUUGCAGGUGACGCUGUGGUGACCCCCAGGUCCCGCCUCCCGUAUUGCCCCAGCAAAGUCCGAGACACCUGACAGGGGACCCAUUUUCCCCAGUAAAGUGCCUUUGACUCUUUCCUCUCAACACAGUUCUGUGUCGAUGAAACAGGCCCAUCUGGCCGGCCGGCGGUGGGAGCGGAAGUAAGGCCCCGGGAGGCCGGGGACCAGCCCGGCUUCUCUGCGGCCCUCCGAAAUGCAUUUCAUUUUAAGGACCCUAUAAAAACCUACUGUUCAACUUCAUUUCGAUAUUCAGGCCCCAUUUUUUUCUGAAUUCAUCUGUUUUCAUGAAUAGUGCUAUUAUUCUUGACAAAGGCAGCAACAUUAAGAUCCUGCGUUGUUCAUAAGAGACCAGUUAUGCCUGAGACACACAAUCAGACAUGUCAUCAAACACAGUCCUUAGAAUAUUUUCCAGGAAAAGAGGAA
This is a long non-coding RNA of Mustela lutreola (European mink), 7152 nucleotides long. RefSeq lists it as uncharacterized. The record is from RefSeq and is a predicted model, not a curated record. Lineage: Eukaryota; Metazoa; Chordata; Mammalia; Carnivora; Mustelidae. The transcript is spliced from 3 exons.